GAUUAACGCUAGCGGCAGGCCUAAUACAUGCAAGUUGUACGGGAUUAUUGGUAGCAAUACUGAUAUGAGAGUAGCGCACGGGUGCGUAACACGUAUGCAACCUACCUUUAACUGGGGAAUAGCCUUCCGAAAGGAAGAUUAAUACCGCAUAACAUUGCGAAACGACACCGUCUUGCAAUUAAACCUACGGGGGUUAGAGAUGGGCAUGCGUCCGAUUAGCUAGUUGGC
Molecule: ribosomal RNA, 228 nt
Filed under: uncultured bacterium
Lineage: Bacteria
Description: partial 16S ribosomal RNA
Rfam family: Bacterial small subunit ribosomal RNA
Source: RNAcentral